UUCGGAAUGACGAUUUAGUGACUGAGUGGCGGACGGGUGAGUAACGCGUGGGUAACCUGCCUCAUACAGGGGGAUAACAGUUGGAAACGACUGCUAAUACCGCAUAAGCGCACAGUAUCGCAUGAUACAGUGUGAAAAACUCCGGUGGUACGAGAUGGACCCGCGUCUGAUUAGCUAGUUGGUGAGGUAACGGCUCACCAAGGCGACGAUCAGUAGCCGGCCUGAGAGGGUGAACGGCCACAUUGGGACUGAGACACGGCCCAGACUCC
Molecule: ribosomal RNA, 269 nt
Filed under: uncultured Lachnospiraceae bacterium
Lineage: Bacteria; Bacillati; Bacillota; Clostridia; Lachnospirales; Lachnospiraceae
Description: partial 16S ribosomal RNA
Rfam family: Bacterial small subunit ribosomal RNA
Source: RNAcentral